CCUACGGGCGGCAGCAGUGGGGAAUAUUGGACAAUGGGCGAAAGCCUGAUCCAGCCAUGCCGCGUGUGUGAAGAAGGCCUUCGGGUUGUAAAGCACUUUCAGUGGGGAAGAAAGCCUUGGGGCUAAUACCCUCGAGGAAGGACAUCACCCACAGAAGAAGCACCGGCUAACUCCGUGCCAGCAGCCGCGGUAAUACGGAGGGUGCGAGCGUUAAUCGGAAUUACUGGGCGUAAAGCGCGCGUAGGCGGUCUGAUAAGCCGGUUGUGAAAGCCCCGGGCUCAACCUGGGAACGGCAUCCGGAACUGUCGGGCUAGAGUGCAGGGGAGGAAGGGAGAAUCCCCGGUGUAGCGGGGAAAUGCGUAGAGAUCGGGAGGAAUACCAGUGGCGAAGGCGGCCUUCUGGACUGACACUGACGCUGAGGUGCGAAAGCGUGGGUAGCAAACAGGAUUAGAUACCCGAGUAGUC
RNAcentral lists this ribosomal RNA (465 nucleotides) under Vreelandella stevensii. RNAcentral's name for it is "partial 16S ribosomal RNA". It matches the Rfam family "Bacterial small subunit ribosomal RNA", at positions 338 to 795 of the family's 1533-position model. Lineage: Bacteria; Pseudomonadati; Pseudomonadota; Gammaproteobacteria; Oceanospirillales; Halomonadaceae. The record is from RNAcentral.